RNAcentral lists this unclassified non-coding RNA (373 nucleotides) under soil metagenome. RNAcentral describes it as "partial contains 5.8S ribosomal RNA, internal transcribed spacer 2, and large subunit ribosomal RNA". The stretch from base 1 to 120 matches the Rfam family "5.8S ribosomal RNA", at positions 35 to 154 of the family's 154-position model. The record is from RNAcentral.
GAUGAAGAACGCAGCGAAAUGCGAUAAGUAAUGUGAAUUGCAGAAUUCAGUGAAUCAUCGAAUCUUUGAACGCAUCUUGCGCUCCUUGGUAUUCUGAGGAGCAUGCCUGUUUGAGUGUCAUUAAAUUCUCAACUACACUGACUUUGAAUUGGUGUGGCUUGGAUUUGGGGGGAAAAUUGUUGUGGGCUUUUUGUAUAGUCUGCUCCCCUGAAAUUGAUUAGCGGUACCUUUGUGGAACUGUCUACAGGUGUGAUAAUUAUCUACAUCUUAGACAUCUGCUGGAAUGCUGCUUUCUAAACCUUACUUGUAUUGACAAUCUUGACCUCAAAUCAGGUAGGACUACCCGCUGAACUUAAGCAUAUCAAGCGGAGGA